Molecule: long non-coding RNA, 927 nt
Filed under: Mytilus galloprovincialis (Mediterranean mussel)
Lineage: Eukaryota; Metazoa; Mollusca; Bivalvia; Mytilida; Mytilidae
Source: RNAcentral
CCUAAAAGACUGAUAUACAUAAAAGAGUGAUAUACCUAAAAGAGUGAUAUGAACUCAGGGGCUCCUUAAGGGUUAGCAGUUCCUUCUCCAAUAUUUGGUAACCCACACUAAUGCCCCCACCAGCUGUAGAUAUGAACUCGGGUGUGUCGUUAGGGUUGGCAGUUCCUGCUCCAACAGCGAAUAUUUGGUAACCAACACUUUUGCCCCCACCAGCUGUAGAUAUGAACUUAGGUGCACCGUAAGGGUAAGCAGUUUCUGUUCUAAUAGAGAAUAUUUGGUUACCAACACUUAUGCCCCCAACAGCUGUAGAUAUGAACUCAGGUUCACUGUAAGGGUUAGCAGUUUCUGUUCCAACAAGGAAUAUGUGGUUACCAACACUAAUGCCCCCAUCAACUGUAGACAUGAACUUAGGUGCUCAGUAAGGGAUAACAGUUUCUGUUCCAAUAAAGAAUAUUUGGUAGCCAACACUAUUGUCUCCACCAGCUGUAGAUAUGAACAUAGGUUCUCCGUAAAGGUUAGCAGUUCCUGCUGCAAUAGAGAAUAUUUAGUUACCACCACUAAUGCCCCCAGGCAGCUGUAUAUAUGAACUCAGGUGCUCCGUGAGGGUUAGCAGUUUCUGUUCCAAUAGAGAAUAAUGGUUGCCCACACUAAUGCCCCCAUCACCUGUAGAUAUGAACUCAUGUGCUCCGUAAGGGUUAGCAGACUCUGUUCCAAAAGAGAAUAUUUGGUAACCACCACUAAUGCCCCCACCAACUGUAGAUAUAAACUCAUGUCCUCUGUAAGGGUUAGCAGUUUCUGUUCCAAUAGAGAAUAUUUGGUAACCAACACUUUUGCCCCCACCAGCUGAAGAUAUGAACUCAGGUGCUCCGUGAGGGUUAGCAGUUUCUGUUCCAAUAGAGAAUAUUUGGUUACCAACACUAAUGCCCC